CUAAAAUAGGAAGAAUUAGAAAUACGCCGGGAAGUGAAAAUUUCUCUUGUAGCUAAAACUGUUUUAGAUCGAAACUGGCGAUGCUGGAUGCGAGGAAAUUUAUUCAUUGGAAAGGAAAGUGGAUGCGAAGAAGUGUGAUAUGAUAUGAUAUCUUGCAGAUGAUUUUAUUUCUAUGUUUGGAUGUUUUGAGUAAAAUGUUACAGCAUACUUGCUUGUGUUAGCAUUAAGUAUUAUAUAUUCGCAAUGUAAGUGUACAUUUUUGAACACAAUUUGAAUUUCAUACGUUGAUAAUUAAAAAUAUUUGUU
Molecule: unclassified non-coding RNA, 306 nt
Filed under: Melitaea cinxia (Glanville fritillary)
Lineage: Eukaryota; Metazoa; Arthropoda; Insecta; Lepidoptera; Nymphalidae
Description: misc RNA ENSMCXG00005018080.1
Source: RNAcentral